UGGGGAAUUGUUCGCAAUGGGCGCAAGCCUGACGACGCAACGCCGCGUGGAGGAUGAAGGUCUUCGGAUUGUAAACUCCUGUUGCCCGGGACGAAAUGUUCAGACCUAAUACGUCUGAGUUUGACGGUACCGGGUGAGGAAGCCCCGGCUAACUCUGUGCCAGCAGCCGCGGUAAUACAGAGGGGGCAAGCGUUGUUCGGAAUUACUGGGCGUAAAGGGCGCGUAGGCGGCCCUCUAAGUCGAACGUGAAAUCCCUGGGCUCAACCCAGGAACUGCGUCCGAGACUGGGGGGCUAGAAUCCGGGAGAGGGAUGUGGAAUUCCAGGUGUAGCGGUGAAAUGCGUAGAUAUCUGGAGGAACAUCGGUGGCGAAGGCGGCAUCCUGGACCGGUAUUGACGCUGAGGCGCGAAAGCCAGGGGAGCAAACGGGAUUAGAUACCCCAGUAGUCCCUGAGCGGGCUGGCAAGGCGCAU
Molecule: ribosomal RNA, 471 nt
Filed under: uncultured bacterium
Lineage: Bacteria
Description: bacterial SSU rRNA
Rfam family: Bacterial small subunit ribosomal RNA
Source: RNAcentral